Non-coding RNA from Corylus avellana, 621 nucleotides. The record is from RefSeq and is a predicted model, not a curated record. Lineage: Eukaryota; Viridiplantae; Streptophyta; Magnoliopsida; Fagales; Betulaceae.
AAGAGCUCCACGUACAUUUCAUUUAGGUGGCCGGGGAACAUUCAAGCUAAUUUACUCAUGUGGUCUGCUUUGUGUGAGCAGGGUAUGUAGAGAAGGUCCGCACAAUCAAAUAGAAACCGAAAUCAUGAAGGCCAAUCUACUUAUAAUAAUCUGCCUUCUCUUGGUAUCCGCACUCUUCAUUCCUUCUCCAAUUUCAGCUAGACAAUUAGCUGACAAACCUCCUGUGACUAUUGGAACCGGGAAUCCAGGCAAGCCAGCAGUGCCACCAUGUGGUCGUGGUCCUAGAUAUGGGAGUUGUAUCCCCCGAAAGUCGCCACCUAAAUCAUCAUGUAACCCGUACGUGCGUAAUUGCCCACCUGCCUGAAGGCGUUUGAGAGCAUGAUCGGCAGCUUGCUUAUAUAUUCUCUAUCGUCCACUACUACUUAAGAAGACUAUUAUAUAUAUAUAUGGUUUUUGGAGCUUUAUUAUUUUGAUUGCUUUGAUCAUGUGCACUCAAAAUUAAUGAACUCCAAGAACUUCUACAGUUUGAUGUAAUGUAUGCAAAAUAAAAGAGCUGACAGAGUCAGUUGGUAUAUAUAUUGAAUGGACUUUAUUACAAUUCUAUAUAUGCAUUUUCCUUUA